Molecule: transfer RNA, 67 nt
Filed under: Polycanthagyna melanictera
Lineage: Eukaryota; Metazoa; Arthropoda; Insecta; Odonata; Aeshnidae
Description: tRNA-Leu
Source: RNAcentral
AAUAGAGGGCUGGUAUGAAGGGUUUAACGAGGUGUUGACUGUCUCAUUUAAUUUGAUUUUUAGAAUU